This is a long non-coding RNA of Dermacentor silvarum, 268 nucleotides long. RefSeq lists it as uncharacterized. NCBI's taxonomy places the organism in Eukaryota, Metazoa, Arthropoda, Arachnida, Ixodida, Ixodidae. The transcript has 2 exons. The record is from RefSeq and is a predicted model, not a curated record.
UGCUGCCAGAGCUUCCGUCUACCAGCACUGCUUGGGAAGCACACAGUCAGCAUGCACCUGAGCCUCAGUACGAGCCAAUAGAGCUUGACCUACAUCACUUGGAGUGCUCAAAUUCCAACGAACAAUGUCGUGAGGAUGCUGCCGAGGGGCUGAAAGAAAUCCAUGAGGAGGAGUGGCGCUACUACUCCUUGGCUGCUGACAACCCUUAUUAUCUUAUUAUCUUCAACAGGUGCUGGCAGAAAUGAAUAAAGUGCACAAGGGCCCUCAA